RNAcentral lists this unclassified non-coding RNA (1089 nucleotides) under Hevea brasiliensis (rubber tree). Lineage: Eukaryota; Viridiplantae; Streptophyta; Magnoliopsida; Malpighiales; Euphorbiaceae. The record is from RNAcentral.
UGGUUUUAUUGCCUUGCAGAAGAAGACUUUGUAAUGCUUAUUGAUUCAUAAUUAAUUAAGUAAUAAUACAAUUGAAAAAAAAAAUGAAUAAAAUGUUGGGCAUCGUAAGUGCGAAAUUAUACAUAUACAUAUAUAUAUGUAUUAUUUUAAUGGUGGAUACAGAGAAUGGGUCGACGUUCAGACCUUCUCUUCAAUUCCACAAGGGUUGGGAGAAUUCCUUCUCCUACAAAGCAAAACCAUCGUAACCCACAUUGCACCUUUCACAAUUCUUACCAUACCAAUUGUUGUUGUGAGGUAGUACAGCAACCAACCAAGCAAAUCAGCCAUGCCUAUAUCCACUAACAUCUCUUUCUUUGCCACUGUUACAAUAACCAGAGAUUCAACCUCAUCCCUCAACCUCCACCACCACAAAAUGCCAACGCUCACAGCCAUAGCCACCGUUUGAACAGACCUUUCUUCUCUAGCCACUCCAAACAUUGUGUCAUCAACCACCGGUUUAACCACGGUUCUACACCAAUGAAGCAUAGUCUCGUGCAAACCCAGGAAAAAUAUUACCCUACUUAACAAACUUCUCUCAACAUCGAAAAUGUAACCAUCGAUUUCAGUGGCUAUGCUACCUUCUAUCCCUAAGCCAACGCAUACUUGUAGCGUACAUAGUAAAAUCCAUGCAGUGUACAAACGGGGUCGGUAAAGUUCACCUGGUGACUCGCUUAGAAGGGUAAUUCUACCAGUCAAGCCAUGGAGAAGAGUUGCUAUGCUAAAAAUGGAAACAAGAAAAUAAAUAAUUACAGGACUGCUGCAAAGAAACAAAGAGAAGAGAAAAGAAGAGGAUCGCUGUGUAGAAUAUGCGAUGCUCAAGAGAUAACCGUAAGAAGAGAGCCUGGCAAGAAGGAGAAAGGAAAGAGGAAGCAAGAUACUGAGGAUGGUGAUUCCGAGAACUUGAAAGGGUUCUGCGGAGAUGGCAUAGAGCUCCUGAGCUUUCUGUCGCCAAUUGAUCUGUUGCCAACCCAUCUUGUCCUGGAAUGAAACCCGAUUACAUGUUAAGGAACUUAAAAUAAAGUCUAUUUAUGAGACCAAAUCAUAGCCCUG